RNAcentral lists this ribosomal RNA (372 nucleotides) under uncultured organism. RNAcentral describes it as "bacterial SSU rRNA". It matches the Rfam family "Bacterial small subunit ribosomal RNA", at positions 526 to 896 of the family's 1533-position model. The record is from RNAcentral.
CGAAGGUGGCAAGCGUUACUCGGAAUUACUAGGCGUAAAGGGCAGGUAGGUGGCUUGAUAAGUCUGUUGUGUAAGCUCCUGGCUUAACUGGGAGAGGUCAACAGAUACUGUCAAGCUUGAGUGUAGGAGAGGGUACUGGAAUUCCCGGUGUAGCGGUGAAAUGCGCAGAGAUCGGGAGGAACACCAAUGGCGAAAGCAGGUACCUGGACUAUUACUGACACUAAGCUGCGAAAGCUAGGGGAGCAAACAGGAUUAGAUACCCUGGUAGUCCUAGCUGUAAACGAUGUACAUUAGACGUGAGGGGUAUCGACCCCCUUCGUGUCGACGCAAACGCAUUAAAUGUACCGCCUGGGGAGUACGGCCGCAAGGUUG